RNAcentral lists this ribosomal RNA (500 nucleotides) under uncultured bacterium. RNAcentral describes it as "partial 16S ribosomal RNA". It matches the Rfam family "Bacterial small subunit ribosomal RNA", at positions 30 to 523 of the family's 1533-position model. The record is from RNAcentral.
AUUGAACGCUGGCGGCAGGCUUAACACAUGCAAGUCGAGCGGGGGAAGGUAGCUUGCUACCGGACCUAGCGGCGGACGGGUGAGUAAUGCUUAGGAAUCUGCCUAUUAGUGGGGGACAACAUCUCGAAAGGGAUGCUAAUACCGCAUACGUCCUACGGGAGAAAGCAGGGGAUCUUCGGACCUUGCGCUAAUAGAUGAGCCUAAGUCGGAUUAGCUAGUUGGUGGGGUAAGGCCUACCAAGGCGACGAUCUGUAGCGGGUCUGAGAGGAUGAUCCGCCACACUGGGACUGAGACACGGCCCAGACUCCUACGGGAGGCAGCAGUGGAGAAUAUUGGACAAUGGGGGGAACCCUGAUCCAGCCAUGCCGCGUGUGUGAAGAAGGCCUUAUGGUUGUAAAGCACUUUAAGCGAGGAGGAGGCUACUUUAGUUAAUACCUAGAGAUAGUGGACGCUACUCGCAGAAUAAGCACCGGCUAACUCUGUGCCAGCCGCCGCAGUAA